Molecule: ribosomal RNA, 274 nt
Filed under: uncultured bacterium
Lineage: Bacteria
Description: partial 16S ribosomal RNA
Rfam family: Bacterial small subunit ribosomal RNA
Source: RNAcentral
AUACGGAGGGUGCAAGCGUUAUUCGGAAUCACUGGGCGUAAAGGACGCGUAGGCGGGUUGGCAAGUCAGAUGUGAAAUCCUACAGCUUAACUGUAGAACUGCAUUUGAAACUGCUAACAUAGAGUAUGGGAGGGGGAGAUGGAAUUAGUGGUGUAGGGGUAAAAUCCGUAGAUAUCACUAGGAAUACCGAAAGCGAAGGCGAUCUCCUGGAACAUAACUGACGCUAAGGCGUGAAAGCGUGGGGAGCAAACAGGAUUAGAAACCCUUGUAGUCC